AAGCUGAUCGAAACAUUUGGUUACACCUACAAUAUAUGUAGGUAUAAGAACCAGCCGAGGUGUCGAUUCUAAGUUUACAUGUGGCUCCAGCCGAGCGCGAACAUAGAAAGAGAGAGAGAGAGAGAGAGAGAGAGAGAGAGAGAGAGAGAGAGAGAUCCAAGACACGAAGCUAGGAACCAAAACAUAUCGGCGGGCGCGAGACAAUGCUAAUGUAACAAUAAAACUUUUUUAUUUAUUAAUUUUUUUAAAUCUAACUUUUUCCAAUGUAUUUGUAAGAUUUCUAUGAUUACAAUGAGACCAAACACGUUAUACGCACAGCGAAACAGGAAAGUAUUUCGCUAUUUGUUUGUAUUUUAUAUUUCAUAUUACUUCUUAUACCAAAAUUUUUUUUUUUUUAAAUUAUACAAGAUGUUCGGCAACCGAACAAAAUAUAAAAUAAGAAUAAAAAAAAUACGCAGCAGCUUGGGAUCGAACUAGCGAUAUUUUGUGUACGAUAUGUUACAUCCGGCCCUGCCGGUGUCCCUUUUCAGCGACCUCGCAUUGCGAAUACUUAAGAUCAGAUACUUUUAGGAAUGCGCUUGACAAACGUGCGAUCUGCGAAUCAGCGAAAUAGGCGUCAGCGCUCAACGGCAGCACAUCCGCUGAACUUGGGACCCCUCCCGAUUUCAACGGAUGCCGAAACGACAGUUCUCGAACGCGGCUCGUGCCAUGCGAGGAUCAGCUAAUAUAUAAACCCGUGGACACGCCCCACGGCUCUUUUUUUAUUCCGCUGUCAGUACGUCCUCAUCGUGGUGAUUAUCGAAAUCUUGUAGUCGCGGACAGGUUAACUUCACGCGUUGUCGUUACCUACGAAAGUCCGACGUAUAAUCGGUUAAGAUCACAUCGAACCUUUAUCGUCAAUCGAACACGCACUCAGCGUCGCGCUUUGGUCGUCAAAUACUAAAUUAUUGUAGUCACGGAUAGAGUAAUCGUACGCCCGCCGCGUCGUUGCCGAGGAAAGUCCGUUGUUAAUUAGUAGAGACCCGUGUCGCGAGUGAUAGUUGCCGACAAACAGAUCCUUGCAACAGCACAGCCCUGGGACCACAACAGAUAGCUGGUACAACCAAACUGUAAGACCGACAAGCGAAUGAGCAGCCUGGAGGAAGUUACAUACGGUCUUGAUAGAUUGACCUUCGGGGAUACUUACAUAAUAGGACAAUAUGGGGUGUCAUAUAUUGUCACACCACUGGGUAUGCCGCAGCCCCCGCUACCACCACCAGCCUUCGCGUGGCCGCAACACGAG
Molecule: long non-coding RNA, 1282 nt
Organism: Hylaeus volcanicus
Lineage: Eukaryota; Metazoa; Arthropoda; Insecta; Hymenoptera; Colletidae
Exons: 3
Source: RefSeq, a predicted model, not a curated record